This 253-nucleotide ribosomal RNA is filed under the name uncultured bacterium. RNAcentral describes it as "partial 16S ribosomal RNA". It matches the Rfam family "Bacterial small subunit ribosomal RNA", at positions 524 to 776 of the family's 1533-position model. The record is from RNAcentral.
UACGAAGGGGGCUAGCGUUGCUCGGAAUGACUGGGCGUAAAGGGCGCGUAGGCGGAUGGCACAGUCAGAUGUGAAAUUCCCGGGCUUAACCUGGGGGCUGCAUUUGAUACGUGUUGUCUUGAGUUCGGAAGAGGGUCGUGGAAUUCCCAGUGUAGAGGUGAAGUUCGUAGAUAUCGGGAAGAACACCGGUGGCGAAGGCGGCGACCUGGUCCUUUACUGACGCUGAGGCGCGAAAGCGUGGGGAGCAAACAGG